GCUAGCAGCCAUAUCACCCUGCAACUCACAACUGGGAACCCACUGAAGCUCAGCAGGUGUGUCUGGUCAGUACCUGGUCAGUACCUGGAUGGGAGACCUCCUGGGAAAAACUAAGGUUGCUGCUGGAA
This 128-nucleotide ribosomal RNA is filed under the name Lepisosteus oculatus (spotted gar). Lineage: Eukaryota; Metazoa; Chordata; Actinopteri; Semionotiformes; Lepisosteidae. The record is from RNAcentral.